RNAcentral lists this ribosomal RNA (437 nucleotides) under uncultured Actinomycetes bacterium. Its description in RNAcentral is "bacterial SSU rRNA". It matches the Rfam family "Bacterial small subunit ribosomal RNA", at positions 340 to 793 of the family's 1533-position model. Lineage: Bacteria; Bacillati; Actinomycetota; Actinomycetes. The record is from RNAcentral.
UACGGGAGGCAGCAGUGGGGAAUCUUGCGCAAUGGGCGAAAGCCUGACGCAGCAACGCCGCGUGGGGGAUGAAGGCUCUCGGGUCGUAAACCCCUUUCAGCAGGGACGAAACUGACGGUACCUGCAGAAGAAGCCCCGGCCAACUACGUGCCAGCAGCCGCGGUAACACGUAGGGGGCAAGCGUUGUCCGGAUUUAUUGGGCGUAAAGAGCUCGUAGGUGGUUCGGUAAGUCAGGUGUGAAACCUCCAGGCUCAACCUGGAGACGCCACUUGAUACUGCUGUGACUGGAGUCCGGUAGGGGAGCGUGGAAUUCCUGGUGUAGCGGUGAAAUGCGCAGAUAUCAGGAGGAACACCAGCGGCGAAGGCGGCGCUCUGGGCCGGUACUGAUACUGAGGAGCGAAAGCGUGGGUAGCAAACAGGAUUAGAUACCCUGGUAG